AGCUCGAUGAGUAGGGCGGGACACGUGGUAUCCUGUCUGAAUAUGGGGGGACCAUCCUCCAAGGCUAAAUACUCCUGACUGACCGAUAGUGAACCAGUACCGUGAGGGAAAGGCGAAAAGAACCCCGGCGAGGGGAGUGAAAAAGAACCUGAAACCGUGUACGUACAAGCAGUGGGAGCACCCUUUGGGGUGUGACUGCGUACCUUUUGUAUAAUGGGUCAGCGACUUAUAUUCUGUAGCAAGGUUAACCGAAUAGGGGAGCCGGAGGGAAACCGAGUCUUAAUUGGGCGUUAAGUUGCAGGGUAUAGACCCGAAACCCGGUGAUCUAGCCAUGGGCAGGUUGAAGGUUGGGUAACACUAACUGGAGGACCGAACCGACUAAUGUUGAAAAAUUAGCGGAUGACCUGUGGCUGGGGGUGAAAGGCCAAUCAAACCGGGAGAUAGCUGGUUCUCCCCGAAAGCUAUUUAGGUAGCGCCUCGUGAAUUCAUCUCCGGGGGUAGAGCACUGUUUCGGCUAGGGGGCCAUCCCGGCUUACCAACCCGAUGCAAACUGCGAAUACCGGAGAAUGUUAUCACGGGAGACACACGGCGGGUGCUAACGUCCGUCGUGAAGAGGGAAACAACCCAGACCGCCAGCUAAGGUCCCAAAGUCAUGGUUAAGUGGGAAACGAUGUGGGAAGGCCCAGACAGCCAGGAUGUUGGCUUAGAAGCAGCCAUCAUUUAAAGAAAGCGUAAUAGCUCACUGGUCGAGUCGGCCUGCGCGGAAGAUGUAACGGGGCUAAACCAUGCACCGAAGCUGCGGCAGCGACACUAUGUGUUGUUGGGUAGGGGAGCGUUCUGUAAGCCUGCGAAGGUGGCCUGUGAGGGUUGCUGGAGGUAUCAGAAGUGCGAAUGCUGACAUAAGUAACGAUAAAGCGGGUGAAAAGCCCGCUCGCCGGAAGACCAAGGGUUCCUGUCCAACGUUAAUCGGGGCAGGGUGAGUCGACCCCUAAGGCGAGGCCGAAAGGCGUAGUCGAUGGGAAACGGGUUAAUAUUCCCGUACUUGGUGUUACUGCGAAGGGGGGACGGAGAAGGCUAUGUUGGCCGGGCGACGGUUGUCCCGGUUUAAGCGUGUAGGUGUGUGUUCCAGGUAAAUCCGGUUCACUUUAACACUGAGGCGUGAUGACGAGGCACUACGGUGCUGAAGCAACAAAUGCCCUGCUUCCAGGAAAAGCCUCUAAGCAUCAGGUAACACGAAAUCGUACCCCAAACCGACACAGGUGGUCAGGUAGAGAAUACCAAGGCGCUUGAGAGAACUCGGGUG
RNAcentral lists this ribosomal RNA (1303 nucleotides) under Salmonella enterica. RNAcentral's name for it is "partial 23S ribosomal RNA". It matches the Rfam family "Bacterial large subunit ribosomal RNA", at positions 402 to 1706 of the family's 2925-position model. The record is from RNAcentral. Lineage: Bacteria; Pseudomonadati; Pseudomonadota; Gammaproteobacteria; Enterobacterales; Enterobacteriaceae.